UACGAAGGGUGCAACCGUUGCUCGGGAUUAUUGGGCGUAAAGCGCACGUAGGCGGCUUAGCAAGUCGGCUGUGAAAUCCCUCGGCUCAACCAAGGAAGUGCAUCCGAAACUGCUGAGCUUGAGUACGAAAGAGGAUCGCGGAAUUCCCGGUGUAGAGGUGAAAUUCGUAGAUAUCGGGAGGAACACCAGUGGCGAAGGCGGCGAUCUGGGUCGAUACUGACGCUGAGGUGCGAAAGCGUGGGGAGCAAACAGG
Molecule: ribosomal RNA, 253 nt
Filed under: uncultured bacterium
Lineage: Bacteria
Description: partial 16S ribosomal RNA
Rfam family: Bacterial small subunit ribosomal RNA
Source: RNAcentral